AAUAUACUCUCUUCGUCCCAUAUUAACUGACUUUUUAUUACAUAUAUCUACACGUUUUUUAUGAAUAGAUACAUCCAUAUUUUGGCAAAUUUGAGUCACUUAAUAUGGGACGGAGGGAGUACAUC
Molecule: non-coding RNA, 125 nt
Organism: Brachypodium distachyon (stiff brome)
Lineage: Eukaryota; Viridiplantae; Streptophyta; Magnoliopsida; Poales; Poaceae
Source: Rfam